UAUAAAGGUUAUAACAUUAUUGUUCCUUUUUGUCUUUUGAAUUAGAAAAUUUUCGACUUGUUUUACUGAUACAUCUUAUAUCAGCGUAUAUGAGAGAAAACAGUAUCAGCCAAAAUUGGAGCCUUUUUUUCGAAAUCAUUACGAAUAUAUUGACACUUUUGAUUGAAGGUUAUAUGUGUAAAAUAUUGAUAAUGGAUUAUUUUACUACUUAUAAAUGAAUGAAAAAGUUGAAUUGUUUAUGGAAUAUUCAUAAACUUACAAAUACAAGAGCAGCAAGAAAACAAAUUUAAAGGAAACAUAGUUAAUGUAACAUUCAUCCUAAUUUUGGAUGUAAUAUAGCAGUAUUUUUUUGUUGUUAUCAUCCUUAAUAGAGGACUAAACGCAACACCUUGGCAUAUGGGAGUAUUCGUUGAUGUUGCAGAAAAAAUAUAUACAUUUUUGUAGGAACUUUGAUCUAAUUUCUGAAAGAGUUAUCAUUAUUUUUUCAUUCUUUUUCUAUUUCUUUUUUUUUGUUCUUAUAUCUUUGCAAUUUGUUAGAAGUAAAGUA
Vespa crabro (European hornet) is the source of this 547-nucleotide long non-coding RNA. RefSeq lists it as uncharacterized. The transcript is spliced from 3 exons. NCBI's taxonomy places the organism in Eukaryota, Metazoa, Arthropoda, Insecta, Hymenoptera, Vespidae. The record is from RefSeq and is a predicted model, not a curated record.